This 253-nucleotide ribosomal RNA is filed under the name uncultured bacterium. RNAcentral's name for it is "partial 16S ribosomal RNA". It matches the Rfam family "Bacterial small subunit ribosomal RNA", at positions 524 to 776 of the family's 1533-position model. The record is from RNAcentral.
UACGAAAGGGGCUAGCGUUGUUCGGAAUUACUGGGCGUAAAGCGCGCGUAGGCGGCCUAGCAAGUUGGGGGUCAAAGCCCAGGGCUCAACCCUGGAAUUGCCUCCAAAACUGCUAAGCUCGAGGCCGAGAGGGGAGUGUGGAAUUCCUAGUGUAGAGGUGAAAUUCGUAGAUAUUAGGAAGAACACCGGUGGCGAAGGCGACCCUCUGGCUCGGUACUGACGCUGAGGCGCGAAAGCUUGGGGAGCAAACAGG